Molecule: ribosomal RNA, 301 nt
Filed under: uncultured bacterium
Lineage: Bacteria
Description: partial 16S ribosomal RNA
Rfam family: Bacterial small subunit ribosomal RNA
Source: RNAcentral
CAGCAGCCGCGGUAAUACGUAGGUGGCAAGCGUUGUCCGGAAUUAUUGGGCGUAAAGCGCGCGCAGGCGGAUUGGUCAGUCUGUCUUAAAAGUUCGGGGCUUAACCCCGUGAUGGGAUGGAAACUGCCAAUCUAGAGUAUCGGAGAGGAAAGUGGAAUUCCUAGUGUAGCGGUGAAAUGCGUAGAUAUUAGGAAGAACACCAGUGGCGAAGGCGACUUUCUGGACGAAAACUGACGCUGAGGCGCGAAAGCCAGGGGAGCGAACGGGAUUAGAUACCCCAGAGUCCCUGUCUCUUAUACAC